Long non-coding RNA from Nicotiana tabacum (common tobacco), 782 nucleotides. RefSeq lists it as uncharacterized. NCBI's taxonomy places the organism in Eukaryota, Viridiplantae, Streptophyta, Magnoliopsida, Solanales, Solanaceae. The record is from RefSeq and is a predicted model, not a curated record.
UUACGGUUUUGGUGUUUCGGUUAAACCGAAAAAUCGAAUUUUUGGGUAUUAGUUAAGAAAAAUAGGUUUGAGCAUGUGAGUUAUUUUGAGAGUCCAAAACUUAUUACCCAUUUCAGGCUGAAGCCAAUAGUCCAAUACCCAUUUGAACUUUGAAGCUCAAUUUACCCAAACUUACUGUACUGAUAGUCUGAUUAUACGUUACACACUUACACUUAGACCUUAGUCACUUACUUUUCAUUUCCCAAAACCUAAAUCAAAAAUUAGAUUUAGGGUUCUUCCUCAGCUCCUGUCUCUGCUGUGACUGCUGCCUUCUUCCUCAGCUCGGCUGUGACGCCUUCUUCCUCAGUUUGCAGCAUUUCCAGGCUUGUUUAUUGCAUGAUAACUGAGAAUAUAUCCUCAAAUACCUGGGCACCUUCUUGUAACAGUGGCAUGAUUCCUAAACGCAGAAGACAAGAAUGGGAUGCUGUCUUCUCAAGUGUAUCCCAGCUACGGCGAAAAAAUGUCUAAAUUUUUUGUUAGGGAUGUAGGAGGUUCUAACUUGCACUAACUAGUUCACACACUUUCUCCAUAUGUCUAUCGUGUGUCAAAUCUCAUCUGAAUUGGCCUUACUUCUUGAGUUUUAGUGCGGAGACUGCAUAGUUCAUAGCUUUUUGUUUGCCAAAGGAGUAGGCAAAAGUUGCUCACCUAAAUUAUGUUCAAGAUGUAGUAUGGCAUGUUCUUGGUCCCUCGAUUGUUUAGUUAAACUCUUAUUUAUUUUGAAAUUAGUUUCAAGACCUGCUUUA